GACGAACGCUGGCGGCGUGCCUAAUACAUGCAAGUCGAACGAGAGCGCCCGGUGCUUGCCCUGGUCAAUCUAGUGGCGAACGGGUGAGUAACACGUGGGUAACCUGCCCAUCAGAGGGGGAUAACAUCCGGAAACGGAUGCUAAAACCGCAUAGGUCUUCGAACCGCAUGGUUUGAAGAGGAAAAGAGGCGCAAGCUUCUGCUGAUGGUUGGACCCGCGGUGCAUUAGCUAGUUGGUGAGGUAACGGCUCACCAAGGCCGUGAUGCAUAGCCGACCUGAGAGGGUGAUCGGCCACAUUGGGACUGAGACACGGCCCAAACUCCUACGGGAGGCAGCAGUAGGGAAUCUUCCGCAAUGGACGCAAGUCUGACGGAGCAACGCCGCGUGAGUGAAGAAGGUUUUCGGAUCGUAAAACUCUGUUGUUAGAGAAGAACAAGUGCUAGAGUAACUGUUAGCGCCUUGACGGUAUCUAACCAGAAAGCCACGGCUAACUACGUG
This 498-nucleotide ribosomal RNA is filed under the name uncultured bacterium. RNAcentral describes it as "partial 16S ribosomal RNA". It matches the Rfam family "Bacterial small subunit ribosomal RNA", at positions 28 to 507 of the family's 1533-position model. The record is from RNAcentral.